GAUGAAGAACGUAGCGAAAUGCGAUACUUGGUGUGAAUUGCAGAAUCCCGUGAACCAUCGAGUCUUUGAACGCAAGUUGCGCCCGAAGCCAUCAGGUUGAGGGCACGUCUGCCUGGGCGUCACAUAUCGUUGCCCAAUGCCUAUUGCAGUGCAAUAGGAAUUUCUAGGGCGAAUGAUGGCUUCCCGUGAGCGUUGUUGCCUCGCGGUUGGUUGAAAAUCGAGUCCUUGGUAGGGUGUGCCAUGGUAGAUGGUGGUCGAGUUAGAACGAUACCGAUCAUGUGCAUGCUCCCCAAAAUAUGGCCUCUAUGACCCACACACGUCUUUUGACGCUCAUGACGAGACCUCAGGUCAGGCGGGGCUACCCGCUGAAUUUAAGCAUAUCAUAAGCGGAGGA
This 394-nucleotide unclassified non-coding RNA is filed under the name soil metagenome. Its description in RNAcentral is "partial contains 5.8S ribosomal RNA, internal transcribed spacer 2, and large subunit ribosomal RNA". The stretch from base 1 to 122 matches the Rfam family "5.8S ribosomal RNA", at positions 35 to 154 of the family's 154-position model. The record is from RNAcentral.